This 85-nucleotide transfer RNA is filed under the name Escherichia coli. RNAcentral's name for it is "tRNA-Tyr(gta)". It matches the Rfam family "tRNA". Rfam says of the family: Transfer RNA (tRNA) molecules are approximately 80 nucleotides in length. Their secondary structure includes four short double-helical elements and three loops (D, anti-codon, and T loops). The record is from RNAcentral. Lineage: Bacteria; Pseudomonadati; Pseudomonadota; Gammaproteobacteria; Enterobacterales; Enterobacteriaceae. RNAcentral also lists the same sequence under 1 other name.
UGGUGGGGUUCCCGAGCGGCCAAAGGGAGCAGACUGUAAAUCUGCCGUCAUCGACUUCGAAGGUUCGAAUCCUUCCCCCACCAUC